This 72-nucleotide transfer RNA is filed under the name Cavia porcellus (domestic guinea pig). It matches the Rfam family "tRNA". Rfam says of the family: Transfer RNA (tRNA) molecules are approximately 80 nucleotides in length. Their secondary structure includes four short double-helical elements and three loops (D, anti-codon, and T loops). Lineage: Eukaryota; Metazoa; Chordata; Mammalia; Rodentia; Caviidae. The record is from Rfam by way of RNAcentral.
GAGGAUAUAGCUAAGUGGUACAGCGCCUGCCUGGCAAGCAUGAAGUCCUGAGUUGGAGUCCCAGUAACCCCC